CCUACGGGUGGCAGCAGUGGGGAAUAUUGCACAAUGGGGGAAACCCUGAUGCAGCGACGCCGCGUGAGCGAUGAAGUAUUUCGGUAUGUAAAGCUCUAUCAGCAGGGAAGAAAAUGCCGGUACCUGACUAAGAAGCCCCGGCUAACUACGGGCCAGCAGCCGCGGUCAUACGUAGGGGGCAAGCGGUCUCCGGAGUGACUGGGUGUAAAGGGAGCGUAGGCGGCUUGGCAAGCCAGAUGGGAAAGACCGGGGCUCAACCCCUGGACUGCAUGUGGAACUGUAAGGCUAGAGUGUCGGAGAGGCAGGCGGAAUUCCUGGUGUAGCGGUGAAAUGCGUAGAUAUUAGGAGGAACACCAGUGGCGAAGGCGGCAUGCUGGACGAUAACUGACGUUGAGGCUCGAAAGCGUGGGGAGCAAACAGGAUUAGAUACCCUUGUAGUC
This 440-nucleotide ribosomal RNA is filed under the name uncultured bacterium. Its description in RNAcentral is "partial 16S ribosomal RNA". It matches the Rfam family "Bacterial small subunit ribosomal RNA", at positions 338 to 795 of the family's 1533-position model. The record is from RNAcentral.